CGUUGUCAAGAAAUAAAAGUUCAAGUCAGAACCAAAAUAUCACAGACGAUUCUUCGAAUUCUGCAGAAACAGUCUCACAACUCUGAACCUAAAAGAAGAAAACAAUCCACCCUUGAAAGUUGCUUAGAGAGAAGUGUAAGUUUUGAAGAAGGCAGAUAGAAACAUAAUGAAAUUACUCAGGCAUUAAUUUAUAUGAUAUGUAAGCUCAAUUUCCCACGAUCAUGUGUGGAAAAAAGUGGUUUGCAAAAAUUCAUUCGUACUGUUAGUUCUCUCCAUAAGCUUCCAUCCAGAAAAGGGGUAUCUGGUUUAAUUGAAAAUAGAUAUAAUACUACGAAGGCGAUCCUUAUGAAAGUUUUAGACGAGGCGAAUUUCUAAUAUUUCACCAGUGACAUACUCACAAUCACUAAUUCAACAAGAAGUUUUUUUGGUAGUGACAGUUCACUUUAUCGUUACCAUCAAAGAAAAGAAUUUGUCUGCUAUCCAGAGUAUAAACCUAUGCGCGCAAAAACUAUCACAGAGUUAUACAGCCCAGUACAUCACAAAAACAUGGAAUGAUAUCUGCGACGAAUUUGCUAUUGAUAGAAGUAAAAUUAUAUCGAUCACUACAGAUGGUGGCGCGAAUAUGGUUGCAAUAGUGCGAUUGUUUUUAGGAAAAGAUCAUAGGAUUCCCUGUUUAGCUCAUUGUUUAAACUUAUUGUUGAUGGGGUACUAAAUGAAAUUCCAGCAUUUUCAGCACUUUGUGAUCACGUUAAAAGUAUUAUUACAUUUUUUAAACAAUCUGUAAAUGCUUCAGACCAAUUACGAGCGGAGCUACAAGCUUCAGGAAAAAAAGAAGGCGAAGUUUUGACAUUGAUCCAAGCAGUCAGCACUAGAUGGAACUCGUGCUUAGAUAUGCUAGGACGGUGUUAAAUUGUCAGGAAUCGUAGCUAAAAUUUUAGCCACUAAAAGCCAAACUAACAAGAAUACGCCUGAUAUGGUAGCAAUUUCGCAGCUUAAAGUAAUUUGAGACCUGACUACUCUUCUAGGUCCUUUUAAAGAAUCUACUGAAAAGAUCAGUGGAGAAUAUUAUGUUACGUCAAGCUUGGCAAUUCCUGUUUCUAAUUUACUUCGUCAAGUUACUGAUUAAUCAACGCCAUCGACUACUCUAGGAGAAAUUGUUAAAGAGGCAUUACUUAAAAAAGUCGAAGAAAAACUCGUUCCCCUUGAGAAAAAUACUUUUCUUUCGGUGGCGACUAUAUUAGACUCACGGUUUAAACGUCUUCAUUUCACGUCUCCACUCGCUGUCUUCAGUGCUAUUUCAAGACUCAGCAAUGACAUUCAGAUCCAAGACCAGCUCAAGCAUCACCAGAAGCUAGCUCGUCGUCUAUUUGGUGUAGGCAUGAAAAAUUAAUAACGCUUAGUUCAAAUAGAGCAGAAAUUCCAAGCUCUGGCAGCAUUCCCAAUGAACUAAAACAAUAUUUGGACCAACCAUUAAUCGACCGAAAAUCAGACCCGAUAGAAUUUUAGGUAAAUUGUCGCCAUUUCACACCAGUUCUAUCUGAAAUAGCUUUAAAAUAUUUGAUUUGACAGGCUUCCUCUGUAGCAUCUGGAAGACUUGCUUCGGCUGUUAAUUUAGCUGUUCCAGAUAAUAGAAGCAGUUUAACUGAAGAGCAUAUUAAAGAGCGAGUACUUUUAAUGUCUAUACCAGAUGAUUACUGGUUUGAAUAAAAUUCAGAUUACUAACCGCUGUUUAAAUUUUCAU
Molecule: long non-coding RNA, 1741 nt
Organism: Cotesia glomerata
Lineage: Eukaryota; Metazoa; Arthropoda; Insecta; Hymenoptera; Braconidae
Exons: 4
Source: RefSeq, a predicted model, not a curated record